RNAcentral lists this ribosomal RNA (253 nucleotides) under uncultured bacterium. RNAcentral's name for it is "partial 16S ribosomal RNA". It matches the Rfam family "Bacterial small subunit ribosomal RNA", at positions 524 to 776 of the family's 1533-position model. The record is from RNAcentral.
UACGGGGGGAGCAAGCGUUGUUCGGAAUCACUGGGCGUAAAGGGCGUGUAGGCGGUUCGGUAAGUGGGAUGUGAAAUCCCUCGGCUCACCCGAGGACCUGCAUCCCAUACUGCUGAGCUUGAGUACAGGAGAGGGUGGGGGAAUUCCUGGUGUAGCGGUGAAAUGCGUAGAUAUCAGGAGGAACACCGGUGGCGAAGGCGGUUCUCUGGGCAUGAUCUGACGCUGAGGAGCGAAAGUGUGGGGAGCGAACAGG